GACGAAGGACCCGAGCGUUAUCCGGAUUCAUUGGGUUUAAAGGGUGCGUAGGUGGAUUGAUAAGUCAGUGGUGAAAUCUCCAGGCUUAACCUGGAAACUGCCAUUGAUACUGUCGAUCUUGAAUAUGUUUGAUGUGGGCGGAAUAUGACAUGUAGCGGUGAAAUGCUUAGAUAUGUCAUAGAACACCGAUUGCGAAGGCAGCUCACAAAGCCAUUAUUGACACUGAGGCACGAAAGUGUGGGGAUCAAACAGG
This 253-nucleotide ribosomal RNA is filed under the name uncultured bacterium. Its description in RNAcentral is "partial 16S ribosomal RNA". It matches the Rfam family "Bacterial small subunit ribosomal RNA", at positions 524 to 776 of the family's 1533-position model. The record is from RNAcentral.